CACGUAGGGGGCGAGCGUUGUCCGGAUUUAUUGGGCGUAAAGAGCUCGUAGGCGGUUCGGCAAGUCGGGUGUGAAAUUUCGAGGCUCAACCUCGAAACGCCACUCGAUACUGCUGUGACUGGAGUCCGGUAGAGGAGUGCGGAAUUCCUGGUGUAGCGGUGAAAUGCGCAGAUAUCAGGAGGAACACCGAUGGCGAAGGCAGGUCUCUGGGCCAUAACUGACGCUGAGAAGCGAAAGCAUGGGGAGCGAACAGG
RNAcentral lists this ribosomal RNA (254 nucleotides) under uncultured bacterium. RNAcentral's name for it is "partial 16S ribosomal RNA". It matches the Rfam family "Bacterial small subunit ribosomal RNA", at positions 524 to 776 of the family's 1533-position model. The record is from RNAcentral.